Molecule: ribosomal RNA, 19 nt
Filed under: Ustilago shanxiensis
Lineage: Eukaryota; Fungi; Basidiomycota; Ustilaginomycetes; Ustilaginales; Ustilaginaceae
Description: partial 26S ribosomal RNA
Source: RNAcentral
CAUCGGCCUCAGAUUGUAG